CACAAAUGAACUUUAGUAGCUUUCAAACACAAUGAAAUAUGUUGUGCGGGUUUUCAAAUUUCAAACCCCCUAAACAUUUUCAGAUCUUGAACUAAACCACCUCUCCUCAGACCUCUCCCCGCUACUCCAUUGUUUUCGCCAUCAUUCCAGCUUCUUCCCUUAUUUUCUUUCGGCAAAAAAAGAUCUAGAGAAACUCAGAGCCCGUGUCAGUUAAGUACAAAGCAGGAGAGAUCGACAAUGAUUCUUGUGCUCCACCCAAACAUCUUCAAAGGAGGCAAGCUUAAAUCUCCAUCACAUAGAUCUGAGUUUGAGACCAAGUUGCAAGAUCGCUGGGUUUCAGUCUAGAUAUUGUUUGUGCCCAAGAUGACAUGUGCACGGGAAGUAAUCUACUACGCGAUUGCAGAUGCAAGGUAUCUACCUUAUGCAUCCAAGAUUUUCUAUAGGCUUGUAACUUUUUUGUCAUGUUACUGAUCUGCAAGGUAUCUACCAUAGCGUUACUUGUUUUAAGAUCUAUCAUGUUACUGAUCUGCAAGGUAUCUACCCAUCCAGUUCAAUCCAAAACCAGAUUGUUUAGGUGAUAAAUUAGGCUGAAAUCUUAGUUUAAAUGUUUGAAUAUUAUUGCUUGUAAUAUGCUGGUGAAAAUUUUGUUUUUUAGAAACAGGAACCCUUUUGAAAAUGUAAGUCUUGGUACCAUUACUUUAUAAUUACAUUUGUUUGGCAAUCACAUAAUUCUUUAUUUUCCUCAGUUUGUUAAAUGUUUGCUUACAUGUGCAGGAAAUGGGAAGGUAGGUCAUGUGAAUCAAGCAAAUACAUGUGCCUGUUCAGUGGGUCGGUGCUUGUUUGAACAUGUUUUGUUUAUUGUUAUAUUUUCUUGAUAUAUUAACUAAUCCAGGAUUGGUUUGGGAUCUUUGCUCUUUGAUGCUCAUAUUAUAUAUGAUGGAAUGUUGCAAGCAGCUUCUUUUGAAUGGUAUUAAAUUUAUAAAAGUUGAUUUGUUUCUAUCAUCCCUUUUUUAUUAAUCUUUUUAAAACUUGCUGGAUUAAAUAUAAUGCUAGCUAAUCUAUUUUUUUUUGUACAAUACUGGCUCUUAUAUGAUAGAAUAAGAAAUUCAAAUGGGCAAGCUUCCAUUGUGCAAUAUUGUUAGUUGUGAAAGGAUAGCCACUAAGUCCAUGUGUAGUGGUCACUCCUCAUAACCCCCAUUUAGCUUCCGUUGUGAAAUAUUGUCUGUUUUGCCAUGCGCAGGACGCCAAACAUGUUAUGACUACCCAAAUCACUGCUGCCCGACUUUUUAUUACCUAACUUUUGUUUUGUUAACUGGUAAACGCAGGUUAGGCAAUAUAUAACAACCUUGAGGGGAAUACGGGUGGAGGUAAAAUACCCUACUUUUUAACAUUUAUUAAGUUGGUUCAAUGUGUUGCCUCAAUACAUAAGCGGGUAAAAAUUGUCAGAUGUAUAGUAUCGUAAAAUUUGAGAAAAUAUUUACUAGGAUCGAAUUCAUGAUGCUUAUCUGUGUGUUUCUUUGUGUACAAAACUAUUAGAAAAUUUUAAAUAUCUUCAUAUAUCCAAACACGACUGGCGCCAUUCUUUUAACAAAACGAAAAGGAGAUGCGUGUUUUGCAUAUGUAAGAAAAAAUAAUUUUUGUUAGGUUUGGGCUUUGGAAUGGCGUAAAGACUGGUUUUGUUUCAUGUUCUUAUUACUUUAUUCUCAAUCACUAGACUCAUGCAUAGUUUCCAGCCUUUCAUAGAAAGAGGCAAACGUUGACUUUAAGGUCAGAAUUCUAAUUUUUUAUUUUCAGAUAUCAACAAGAUUUUAUAACUUAACAGUAGUCUAACUCUCUUGGUAGUUCCAUUAGUAAAGUAGCAUAAACCAGUAUUGUGUUGCAAUUUCUCACCCCGAGAGGAUUAAUAAAGUAGCAUAAACGAGUAUUGCGUUGCAAUUUGUCACCCCGCAGCAUCGCGCGGGUAUCAUACUAGUUAGAUAUUACACAUUUGGCCUGUUAGCUAACAAAAGUGCUGAUAGGAAAAAUGUUUUAAUAUGUAAUGUAAAUGCUAUUUUACAAAUUGAUUUUCUAAGUUUUAGGUGAAUUAUAUGGUUGGGAGAUCUUACUUACCGCUUUGAUUUGUCAUACGAGGAAACACGUGAUUUGAUUUCCAACAAUGCAUGGUCCAAGUUGUUAGAAAGCAGAGAUGAGCUCGGUACCAACCAGGUAGUGAAAAUCCCCAAAAAUGUGUACGGUACCGGUACGGAAAAUCCAAAAAAUGGGUGCCGGUACCAAAAAUCCAAAAGUCGGUACCUAAAAUAUUUUGGUUCGGGUUAUUCGGUCUCGGUAUUUGGUACCUUUGCUCAUCCCUAUUAGAAAUUGAUCACGUCUCGUGGUGGUAGCACUUCAAACCGUGGUGCCAAAAGUGGUACAGGUCGUUAUGCUAGCCGUGGUUCUAGAUGGGGAACCUUUACCAAUAUUCGCAUUGUUAAUAAGCUAUUAAACGGGGAGUCAAGAAAAAUGAAGGUAUAAUUUCUAUUUUCUCAUUAUUUGGGGUUUAAUUUUUUGUAACUUUCUUAUGUGAUGCUUUUAGUAGGAUUACUAUUGAACUAAUAUAGUUUCAUAUUGCUUAUGUUUAUGCAUGUUUAGGUUGGUUGUCUUUUUCUUUUGGUUAUGCAUCUAUAACUUUAUCAUUUCCCUCCUAACAUGUUUCAGAUUUGAGAGUUCUUUUCGUAGUUUAUCCUUUCAAUUUAUGUUUUUUGUUUCUUUGUUAGU
This is a long non-coding RNA of Helianthus annuus (common sunflower), 2754 nucleotides long. RefSeq lists it as uncharacterized. The record is from RefSeq and is a predicted model, not a curated record. The transcript is spliced from 5 exons. NCBI's taxonomy places the organism in Eukaryota, Viridiplantae, Streptophyta, Magnoliopsida, Asterales, Asteraceae.